This 26-nucleotide small RNA is filed under the name Bombyx mori (domestic silkworm). RNAcentral describes it as "ovarian small RNA-38401". The record is from RNAcentral. Lineage: Eukaryota; Metazoa; Arthropoda; Insecta; Lepidoptera; Bombycidae.
UUUGCGAACGGCCACGGAGCUCCGCC